GCGAAAGUGGCGGAAUUGGUAGACGCACUGGAUUUAGGUUCCAGCGCCGCAAGGCGUGCGAGUUCGAGUCUCGCCUUUCGCACCA
This 85-nucleotide transfer RNA is filed under the name Thiobacter subterraneus. RNAcentral describes it as "tRNA-Leu". It matches the Rfam family "tRNA". Rfam says of the family: Transfer RNA (tRNA) molecules are approximately 80 nucleotides in length. Their secondary structure includes four short double-helical elements and three loops (D, anti-codon, and T loops). Further hydrogen bonds mediate the characteristic L-shaped molecular structure. tRNAs have two regions of fundamental functional importance: the anti-codon, which is responsible for specific mRNA codon recognition, and the 3' end, to which the tRNAs corresponding amino acid is attached (by aminoacyl-tRNA synthetases). tRNAs cope with the degeneracy of the genetic code in two manners: having more than one tRNA (with a specific anti-codon) for a particular amino acid; and 'wobble' base-pairing, i.e. permitting non-standard base-pairing at the 3rd anti-codon position. RNAcentral also lists the same sequence under 10 other names. Lineage: Bacteria; Pseudomonadati; Pseudomonadota; Betaproteobacteria; Burkholderiales; Thiobacteraceae. The record is from RNAcentral.